CCCUUAGAUGUUCUGGGCCGCACGCGCGCUACACUGAUGCAUUCAACGAGUCUAAAACCUGCUCUGAUAGGGGUGGGUAAUCUUUUGAAUGUGCAUCGUGAUUGGGAUAGAUGAUUGCAAUUUUUCAUCUUCAAUGAGGAAUGCCUAGUAAACGCAAGUCAUCAGCUUGCAUUGAUUACGUCCCUGCCCUUUGUACACACCGCCCGUCGCUCCUACCGAUUGAAUGAUCCGAUGAAUAUCAUGGAUUGAGGAUGCAAGUAGGUUAGCCUAUCUUCAUCUUCGAGAAGUGAAGUAAAUCUUAUCAUUUAGAGGAAGGAGAAGUCGUAACA
Molecule: ribosomal RNA, 329 nt
Filed under: uncultured eukaryote
Lineage: Eukaryota
Description: partial 18S ribosomal RNA
Rfam family: Eukaryotic small subunit ribosomal RNA
Source: RNAcentral